Salmo trutta (river trout) is the source of this 4520-nucleotide long non-coding RNA. NCBI's taxonomy places the organism in Eukaryota, Metazoa, Chordata, Actinopteri, Salmoniformes, Salmonidae. The record is from Ensembl.
GUGUAGUGUGGUAGUGAUGGGUUUCUCCAGUAGAUGGCAGUAUAACAGUAUAGUGUAGUGUGGUAGUGAUGGGUUUCUCCAGUAGAUGGCAGUAUAACAGUAUAGUGUAGUGUGGUAGUGAUGGGUUUCUCCAGUAGAUGGCAGUAUAGUGUAGUGUGGUAGUGAUGGGUUUCUCCAGUAGAUGGCAGUAUAGUGUAGUGUGGUAGUGAUGGGUUUCUCCAGUAGAGGGCAGUAUAGCAGUGUGGUAGUGAUGGGUUUCUCCAGUAGAUGGCAGUAUAGCAGUGUAGUGUGGUAGUGAUGGGUUUCUCCAGUAGAUGGCAGUAUAACAGUAUAGUGUAUUGUGGUAGUGAUGGGUUUCUCCAGUAGAUGGCAGUAUAGUGUAGUGUGGUAGUGAUGGGUUUCUCCAGUAGAGGGCAGUAUAACAGUAUAGUGUAGUGUGGUAGUGAUGGGUUUCUCCAGUAGAUGGCAGUAUAGUGUAGUGUGGUAGUGAUGGGUUUCUCCAGUAGAUGGCAGUAUAACAGUAUAGUGUAGUGUGGUAGUGAUGGGUUUCUCCAGUAGAGGGCAGUAUAACAGUAUAGUGUGGUAGUGAUGGGUUUCUCCAGUAGAUGGCAGUAUAACAGUGUGGUAGUGAUGGGUUUCUCCAGUAGAUGGCAGUAUAACACAGCUGAUUUGAAUGAAUCCUGACAGUUAUUUUAUACAUGAAUUCAUCUGACGUGUGUGUAGAUAUAUAUCCUCACACACACACACACACACACACACACACACACACACACACACACACACACAGGACCAGUCAAAAGUUUGGACACACCUAGUCAUUUUAAGGGUUUUUCUUUAUUUUUACUAUUUUCUACAUUGUAGAAUAAUAGUGAAGACAUCAACACUAUGAAAUAACACAUAUGGAAUCAUGUUGUAACCAAAAUAGUGUUAAAACAAAUCAAAAUAUAUUUUAUAUUUGAGAUUCUUCAAAAUAGCCACCCUUUGCCUUGAUGACAGCUUUGCACACUGUGUGUGUGUGUGUGUGUGUGUGUGUGUGUGUGCGUGUACACAGUGGAAGUACGACCAGACCACUGCCACCUACCUGUUGCUACUCUCUAAGAAACAGAGAGGGAAACCUGUCCGGAUCAGGCCUCAACUUCCUGUCUGUGAUGUCAUAUCCUGUUCACCGCAACACCUGGGAGUACAGACUCUACUCUUCGGUGAUGAUGAUGCUGAGGACUGUUGCUAUGACGACCUGCCCUGGGUUCCGCUCACACCCCAAAAAGAGGUCAGGGGUCAUCGCUCUCGCACUCUCCUCUCUCUGUCUCUGUCUCUCUCUCUGUGUGCCUUGUUAUCAACAUUCUUGUUUCUGUCUUCCUAAAGAGAGCGACCUGUCCGUCAGCUGAAAAGAGGCGGGAUCAAACUAACCACGCCCCCACUCAGGAGAAGGAGCCAAUCACACACCACCACCGUCGCCAGGAGAGGCGGGACCGAGGCCUGGAACGGACCAAUGAAAACAAAGAGAACGUUGCCGUGGCCAAUAAGGAUGCUGAUAUAUUUGCUUUGCCCGCCCCCCGAACCCCAGUAGCCAAUAGGAAGGCAACUCGGCCCAAUAAGAGGGUGUUGACUACACCAACCCAUAAUAACACCAACAAGGUUGGCAACAAGGUAGACACACCCCAAGGUAAGAACACACACACACACACACACACACAUCCUGAUUCCAUUUUAGUUUUUUCCCAAAUUCAGUUGGCACAUUUGCAAGUAAAUUGUAUUCUGCUAAUAGUCAUUUAGCAGCUUUGUGCCGAAGACUCAUAUUCAUCUGAUUUAUCUCUCUCUCUCUGUGUGUGUGUGUGUGUGUGUGUGUGUGUGUGUGUGUGUGUGUGUGUGAUUAUGAUCACCGUCGACCACCAAAAGUGUGCCCCAUUUUUUUUACAUUUAUUUAUAAUAGCUAGCCUAAUGCUAACUAGCGUGGCUAACGCUAUAACAGUUAUUUGUGAAUGAGUGGGAUGCUAAUGCUGUUAGCUAUUAGCUGUUAGCCCUCUGCGUUUCAAUGAGAGCGAUGAUAAUGAUGGUUGGUUUAUUAUGUAUCCUGCUCUGUCUCAGCCUUUCACUGGAUCCUGGCUUUUACCUCUGACAAAUAAUACAGACGAUAUAUAGAUAGAUCUAUAUAGAUGGAGAUAGAUCUAUAUAGAUAGAUCUAUAGAGAUAGAUCUAUAUUCUCUCUCUAUAUAUAGAUCUAUCUAUCUCUAUAUAGAUCUAUGUAGAUAUAGAUAGAUUUAGAGAUAGAGAGAGAGCUAUUUAUUUUAUUUAUUUAUUUCACCUUUAUUUAACCAGGUAGGCAAGUUGAGAACAAGUCCUUUAUUUAACCAGGUAGGCUAGUUGAGAACAAGUUCUCAUUUACAACUGCGACCUGGCCAAGAUAAAGCAAAGCAGUUCGACAACAUACAACAACACAGAGUUACACAUGGAGUAAAACAAAACAUACAGUCAAUAAUACAGUAGAAGAAUAAGUCUAUAUACAAAUGUGAGCAAAUGAGGUGAGAUAAGGGAGGUAAAGGCAAUAAACAGGCCAUGGUGGCAAAGUAAAUACAAUAUAGCAAUUAAAACACUGGAAUGGUAGAUUUGUAGUAGAAGAAAGUGCAAAGUAGAAAUAGAAAUAAUGGGGUGCAAAGGAGCUAAAUAAAUACCGCAGGGGAAGAGGGAGUUGAUCUAGAUCUAUAGAUCUAUGUAGAUAGAGAUGGAGAGAUAGAUCUAUGUAGGUAUAGAUAUCUAUGAGCAGUUUUUCACUAAUAAUAUUGAUGUCACACACAUUCUCUCUGUGUGUAAUUUAUAACCCACCUCUCCAGUCCUGCUACAGCUGACAGCUCUGUCCAGACCAACACACCAGGGACCGUGUGUGUGUGUGUGUGUGUGUGUGUGUCCCUGGGCGUGUACUGUGACAGGUGUUGCUGUCUCUUUCCCUGCUCUCUGUCCCAUGUGGUGUGUACUGACAUGUGUUACACACUUUUCCCGUGUGUGUGUGUGUGUGUGUGUGUGUGUGUGUGUGUGUUGCAGGAGGAGGAGGCAGUACUUGUAAGGACCCGUCGAGGAAGAGACAGAGGGAGAGAGUGGAAAGAAAGGAGGACGACGAGCUGGAGAUGCUGACCUUCAGCCCAGAGAGAAGGUAUGAUGGAGAUGCUGACCUUCAGCCCAGAGAGAAGGUAUGGUGGAGAUGCUGGCCUUCAGCCCAGAGAGAAGGUAUGAUGGAGAUGCUGGCCUUCAGCCCAGAGAGAAGGUAUGAUGGAGAUGCUGGCCUUCAGCCCAGAGAGAAGGUAUGGUGGAGAUACUGGCCUUCAGCCCAGAGAGAAGGUAUGAUGUAGAUGCUGGCCUUCAGCCCAGAGAGAAGGUAUGAUGUAGAUGCUGGCCUUCAGCCCAGAGAGAAGGUAUGGUGGAGAUGCUGGCCUUCAGCCCAGAGAGAAGGUAUGGUGGAGAUGCUGGCCUUCAGCCCAGAGAGAAGGUAUGGUGGAGAUGCUGAUCUUCAGCCCAGAGAGAAGGUAUGGUGGAGAUGCUGGCCUUCAGCCCAGAGAGAAGGUAUGGUGGAGAUGCUGGCCUUCAGCCCAGAGAGAAGGUAUGAUGGAGAUGCUGGCCUUCAGCCCAGAGAGAAGGUAUGAUGGAGAUGCUGGCCUUCAGCCCAGAGAGAAGGUAUGAUGGAGAUGCUGGCCUUCAGCCCAGAGUGAAGGUAUCAUGGAGAUGCUGGCCUUCAGCCUAGAGAGAAGGUAUAAUGGAGGAACUGACCUUCAGCCUAGAGAGAAGGUAUGAUGGAGAUGCUGGCCUUCAGCCCAGAGAGAAGGUAUGAUGGAGAUGCUGGCCUUCAGCCCAGAGAGAAGGUAUGAUGGAGAUGCUGGCCUUCAGCCCAGAGAGAAGGUAUGAUGGAGAUGCUGACCUUCAGCCCAGAGAGAAGGUAUGAUGGAGAUGCUGGCCUUCAGCCUAGAGAGAAGGUAUGAUGGAGAUGCUGACCUUCAGCCCAGAGAGAAGGUAUGGUGGAGAUGCUGGCCUUCAGCCCAGAGAGAAGGUAUGAUGGAGAUGCUGACCUUCAGCCCAGAGAGAAGGUAUGGUGGAGAUGCUGAUCUUCAGCCCAGAGAGAAGGUAUGAUGGAGAUGCUGACCUUCAGCCCAGAGAGAAGGUAUGAUGGAGAUGCUGGCCUUCAGCCCAGAGAGAAGGUAUGAUGGAGAUGCUGACCUUCAGCCCAGAGAGAAGGUAUGAUGGAGAUGCUGGCCUUCAGCCCAGAGAGAAGGUAUGAUGGAGAUGCUGGCCUUCAGCCCAGAGAGAAGGUUACUGAUGAUGACUUGAUAAAGACAGACAACAGAAAGUAUCCCUUCUAUCCCUAGGUUAGAAUGGAGGGUUUGGCUAGGGGGGGUCCUUGGCUCGUCGUGUUCUAGCGACUCCUUGUGGCGGGCCGGGCGCCUGCAAGCUGACCACGUCGGCGAGGCUGGCUUCCGGGUUAACCGAGCCGUGUGUUUUAAGAAUUAGAGCUGCUUUGACCUUCGACCUCUCCCGAG